RNAcentral lists this ribosomal RNA (2933 nucleotides) under Escherichia coli. RNAcentral describes it as "23S ribosomal RNA". It matches the Rfam family "Bacterial large subunit ribosomal RNA". The record is from RNAcentral. Lineage: Bacteria; Pseudomonadati; Pseudomonadota; Gammaproteobacteria; Enterobacterales; Enterobacteriaceae.
GGGUUGUGAGGUUAAGCGACUAAGCGUACACGGUGGAUGCCCUGGCAGUCAGAGGCGAUGAAGGACGUGCUAAUCUGCGAUAAGCGUCGGUAAGGUGAUAUGAACCGUUAUAACCGGCGAUUUCCGAAUGGGGAAACCCAGUGUGUUUCGACACACUAUCAUUAACUGAAUCCAUAGGUUAAUGAGGCGAACCGGGGGAACUGAAACAUCUAAGUACCCCGAGGAAAAGAAAUCAACCGAGAUUCCCCCAGUAGCGGCGAGCGAACGGGGAGCAGCCCAGAGCCUGAAUCAGUGUGUGUGUUAGUGGAAGCGUCUGGAAAGGCGCGCGAUACAGGGUGACAGCCCCGUACACAAAAAUGCACAUGCUGUGAGCUCGAUGAGUAGGGCGGGACACGUGGUAUCCUGUCUGAAUAUGGGGGGACCAUCCUCCAAGGCUAAAUACUCCUGACUGACCGAUAGUGAACCAGUACCGUGAGGGAAAGGCGAAAAGAACCCCGGCGAGGGGAGUGAAAAAGAACCUGAAACCGUGUACGUACAAGCAGUGGGAGCACGCUUAGGCGUGUGACUGCGUACCUUUUGUAUAAUGGGUCAGCGACUUAUAUUCUGUAGCAAGGUUAACCGAAUAGGGGAGCCGAAGGGAAACCGAGUCUUAACUGGGCGUUAAGUUGCAGGGUAUAGACCCGAAACCCGGUGAUCUAGCCAUGGGCAGGUUGAAGGUUGGGUAACACUAACUGGAGGACCGAACCGACUAAUGUUGAAAAAUUAGCGGAUGACUUGUGGCUGGGGGUGAAAGGCCAAUCAAACCGGGAGAUAGCUGGUUCUCCCCGAAAGCUAUUUAGGUAGCGCCUCGUGAAUUCAUCUCCGGGGGUAGAGCACUGUUUCGGCAAGGGGGUCAUCCCGACUUACCAACCCGAUGCAAACUGCGAAUACCGGAGAAUGUUAUCACGGGAGACACACGGCGGGUGCUAACGUCCGUCGUGAAGAGGGAAACAACCCAGACCGCCAGCUAAGGUCCCAAAGUCAUGGUUAAGUGGGAAACGAUGUGGGAAGGCCCAGACAGCCAGGAUGUUGGCUUAGAAGCAGCCAUCAUUUAAAGAAAGCGUAAUAGCUCACUGGUCGAGUCGGCCUGCGCGGAAGAUGUAACGGGGCUAAACCAUGCACCGAAGCUGCGGCAGCGACGCUGAUGCGUUGUUGGGUAGGGGAGCGUUCUGUAAGCCUGUGAAGGUGUACUGUGAGGUAUGCUGGAGGUAUCAGAAGUGCGAAUGCUGACAUAAGUAACGAUAAAGCGGGUGAAAAGCCCGCUCGCCGGAAGACCAAGGGUUCCUGUCCAACGUUAAUCGGGGCAGGGUGAGUCGACCCCUAAGGCGAGGCCGAAAGGCGUAGUCGAUGGGAAACAGGUUAAUAUUCCUGUACUUGGUGUUACUGCGAAGGGGGGACGGAGAAGGCUAUGUUGGCCGGGCGACGGUUGUCCCGGUUUAAGCGUGUAGGCUGGUUUUCCAGGCAAAUCCGGAAAAUCAAGGCUGAGGCGUGAUGACGAGGCACUACGGUGCUGAAGCAACAAAUGCCCUGCUUCCAGGAAAAGCCUCUAAGCAUCAGGUAACAUCAAAUCGUACCCCAAACCGACACAGGUGGUCAGGUAGAGAAUACCAAGGCGCUUGAGAGAACUCGGGUGAAGGAACUAGGCAAAAUGGUGCCGUAACUUCGGGAGAAGGCACGCUGAUAUGUAGGUGAAGUCCCUCGCGGAUGGAGCUGAAAUCAGUCGAAGAUACCAGCUGGCUGCAACUGUUUAUUAAAAACACAGCACUGUGCAAACACGAAAGUGGACGUAUACGGUGUGACGCCUGCCCGGUGCCGGAAGGUUAAUUGAUGGGGUUAGCCGCAAGGCGAAGCUCUUGAUCGAAGCCCCGGUAAACGGCGGCCGUAACUAUAACGGUCCUAAGGUAGCGAAAUUCCUUGUCGGGUAAGUUCCGACCUGCACGAAUGGCGUAAUGAUGGCCAGGCUGUCUCCACCCGAGACUCAGUGAAAUUGAACUCGCUGUGAAGAUGCAGUGUACCCGCGGCAAGACGGAAAGACCCCGUGAACCUUUACUAUAGCUUGACACUGAACAUUGAGCCUUGAUGUGUAGGAUAGGUGGGAGGCUUUGAAGUGUGGACGCCAGUCUGCAUGGAGCCGACCUUGAAAUACCACCCUUUAAUGUUUGAUGUUCUAACGUUGACCCGUAAUCCGGGUUGCGGACAGUGUCUGGUGGGUAGUUUGACUGGGGCGGUCUCCUCCUAAAGAGUAACGGAGGAGCACGAAGGUUGGCUAAUCCUGGUCGGACAUCAGGAGGUUAGUGCAAUGGCAUAAGCCAGCUUGACUGCGAGCGUGACGGCGCGAGCAGGUGCGAAAGCAGGUCAUAGUGAUCCGGUGGUUCUGAAUGGAAGGGCCAUCGCUCAACGGAUAAAAGGUACUCCGGGGAUAACAGGCUGAUACCGCCCAAGAGUUCAUAUCGACGGCGGUGUUUGGCACCUCGAUGUCGGCUCAUCACAUCCUGGGGCUGAAGUAGGUCCCAAGGGUAUGGCUGUUCGCCAUUUAAAGUGGUACGCGAGCUGGGUUUAGAACGUCGUGAGACAGUUCGGUCCCUAUCUGCCGUGGGCGCUGGAGAACUGAGGGGGGCUGCUCCUAGUACGAGAGGACCGGAGUGGACGCAUCACUGGUGUUCGGGUUGUCAUGCCAAUGGCACUGCCCGGUAGCUAAAUGCGGAAGAGAUAAGUGCUGAAAGCAUCUAAGCACGAAACUUGCCCCGAGAUGAGUUCUCCCUGACUCCUUGAGAGUCCUGAAGGAACGUUGAAGACGACGACGUUGAUAGGCCGGGUGUGUAAGCGCAGCGAUGCGUUGAGCUAACCGGUACUAAUGAACCGUGAGGCUUAACCUUACAACGCCGAAGGUGUUU